AUUGAACGCUGGCGGCAUGCUUUACACAUGCAAGUCGGACGGCAGCACAGAGAAGCUUGCUUCUUGGGUGGCGAGUGGCGAACGGGUGAGUAACAUAUCGGAACGUACCGAGCAGUGGGGGAUAACUAAUCGAAAGAUUAGCUAAUACCGCAUAUUUUCUGAGGAAGAAGGCAGGGGACCUUUGGGCCUUGCGCUGUUUGAGCGGCCGAUAUCUGAUUAGCUAGUUGGUGGGGUAAAGGCCUACCAAGGCGACGAUCAGUAGCGGGUCUGAGAGGAUGAUCCGCCACACUGGGACUGAGACACGGCCCAGACUCCUACGGGAGGCAGCAGUGGGGAAUUUUGGACAAUGGGCGCAAGCCUGAUCCAGCCAUGCCGCGUGUCUGAAGAAGGCCUUCGGGUUGUAAAGGACUUUUGUCAGGGAAGAAAAGGGCGGGGUUAAUACCCCUGUCUGAUGACGGUACCUGAAGAAUAAGCACCGGCUAACUACGUG
RNAcentral lists this ribosomal RNA (490 nucleotides) under uncultured bacterium. RNAcentral's name for it is "partial 16S ribosomal RNA". It matches the Rfam family "Bacterial small subunit ribosomal RNA", at positions 30 to 507 of the family's 1533-position model. The record is from RNAcentral.